RNAcentral lists this ribosomal RNA (465 nucleotides) under Vreelandella stevensii. RNAcentral's name for it is "partial 16S ribosomal RNA". It matches the Rfam family "Bacterial small subunit ribosomal RNA", at positions 338 to 795 of the family's 1533-position model. Lineage: Bacteria; Pseudomonadati; Pseudomonadota; Gammaproteobacteria; Oceanospirillales; Halomonadaceae. The record is from RNAcentral.
CCUACGGGUGGCAGCAGUGGGGAAUAUUGGACAAUGGGGGGAACCCUGAUCCAGCCAUGCCGCGUGUGUGAAGAAGGCCCUCGGGUUGUAAAGCACUUUCAGUGAGGAAGAACGCCUGGUGGUUAAUACCCAUCAGGAAAGACAUCACUCACAGAAGAAGCACCGGCUAACUCCGUGCCAGCAGCCGCGGUAAUACGGAGGGGGCGAGCGUUAAUCGGAAUUACUGGGCGUAAAGCGCGCGUAGGUGGCUUGAUAAGCCGGUUGUGAAAGCCCCGGGCUCAACCUGGGAACGGCAUCCGGAACUGUCAAGCUAGAGUGCAGGAGAGGAAGGUAGAAUUCCCGGUGUAGCGGUGAAAUGCGUAGAGAUCGGGAGGAAUACCAGUGGCGAAGGCGGCCUUCUGGACUGACACUGACACUGAGGUGCGAAAGCGUGGGUAGCAAACAGGAUUAGAUACCCGAGUAUUC